CCAACCUUCCUUUUAUGGUCAUAAACCUUGUGUUUAAAUUUCAUAGAUUUCUAUUUACUUAUACUAAAGUUAUGGUGCGAAAACCAAGAAUAAUGCUUAUUUGGGCCCCUUUUUUGCCCCUAAUCCUAAACUGUUGGGACCUCAACUCCCAAAAUCAAUCCCAACCUUCUUUUGUGGUCAUAAAACCUUGUGUUUACAUUUCAUUGAUUUCUAUUUACUUAUACUAAAGUUAUGGUGCGAAAACCAAGAAUAAUGCUUAUUUGGGCCCCUUUUUGGCCCCUAAUUCCUAAACUGUUGGGACCUCAACUCCCAAAAUCAAUCCCAACCUUCCUUUUGUGGUCAUAAACCUUGUGUUUACAUUUCAUUGAUUUCUAUUUACUUAUACUAAAGUUAUUGUGCGAAAACCAAGAAUAAUGCUUAUCUGGGCCCUUUUUUGGCCCCUAUUUUAUAAACUGUUGGAACCAAACAUCCCAAAAUCAAUCCCAACCUUCCUUUUG
Molecule: long non-coding RNA, 497 nt
Filed under: Mytilus galloprovincialis (Mediterranean mussel)
Lineage: Eukaryota; Metazoa; Mollusca; Bivalvia; Mytilida; Mytilidae
Source: RNAcentral